Molecule: long non-coding RNA, 1103 nt
Organism: Eurytemora carolleeae
Lineage: Eukaryota; Metazoa; Arthropoda; Copepoda; Calanoida; Temoridae
Exons: 3
Source: RefSeq, a predicted model, not a curated record
AUCUUAUUUUCAUCUUGUUCUGGUUCCUGCAGUCUGAUCCUCAAAUAGUUAAAGGUUUUACAAUAACCCCUGCACCUCUUUUAUUAAUUCCUGUUUUGCCCCUUCCUAAAUCUAAAUUCUAGUUGCCAGUGAGCAGCGGGGGUAAAGUUAAUUCUAACUUUGACAUGGAUAUGGGACCUGUGGAUGUAGAUAUGGAAGGUCUAGGUGUACUAGGAGAUCUAGCAGAAUAUAUAUCCCCCCAUGUGUCUAGUAUAGUGGGAAAGGAGCUAAAACAAAUCCUGCUAACAAAGGUGAAGGAAACUUUCUUAAAGGAAGUGGAGAGAAGGAUACCAGGGAUAUCAACUCUUCUUAGCAGAAGCUAAUCCUAUAGAGAAGGAUACCAGGGAUAUCAACUCUUCUUAGCAGAAGCUAAUCCUACAGCUACAGUCACAGAAAACAUGACAGCUAUAAAGAGAUAAAUAAAAGAUCGUCUUUGAUAUUCGCCGACCCGCAACCUGGAACCAUAAUUCAAAUAUCGCGAAAUUCCCCUUGUAUGGUCCUUGCAUUCCCAAAUUGUGGUCUGCCUUUUGUGCUUUCCAUAUUACACCCUGAAUCGGUCUUUGAUAAUUUAAUAUGAAAAUUAAACUUAAUAUUGUAGAGGUAAUCGCCAUAGCUUUCAAAACAUGAUGAUCAUUGAUCAUCAGCUUAUGCGUGCUCAAAAUAAUAUUAGCUUUCUUGCGUAAACUAACAGAGAACUUACGUUUAAUCCAAAAUAUUGUAAAAUCAUUUACACUGAAAAGAAAUUAAUUAAAAACAAAUUACAAAAAAUAAACAAGAAUGGAUGAAUUGUAAGAAUUUAACAAAGCUAAACGAUCAAGUUCUACAAGAUCCCUAUAACUCCUCCUUUAAAGAGCAGUCUUUUGUGAUUAUACUAUUCCAUAACAUGGGAAGUUGCUCUUUUUCAGAAAGACAUGCUUCAUGGAACAUUUAAUAAACAAAAAUCCUAAAAACUACUAAAAAUAACGUGUUAAAUAACAGUGGUGCUAAAAAAUAACUCGGAAGAAAAUCCCCAAGAAUAUCGGUUAAAUUUGUAUUUGGUUACCAACAAAGGACGAGACGACUGA